RNAcentral lists this ribosomal RNA (731 nucleotides) under uncultured Actinomycetes bacterium. RNAcentral's name for it is "bacterial SSU rRNA". It matches the Rfam family "Bacterial small subunit ribosomal RNA", at positions 8 to 744 of the family's 1533-position model. The record is from RNAcentral. Lineage: Bacteria; Bacillati; Actinomycetota; Actinomycetes.
AGAGUUUGAUCAUGGCUCAGGAUGAACGCUGGCGGCGUGCUUAACACAUGCAAGUCGAACGCUGAAGCUCCCAGCUUGCUGGGGGUGGAUGAGUGGCGAACGGGUGAGUAUCACGUGAGUAACCUGCCCUUGACUCUGGGAUAAGCCCGGGAAACUGGGUCUAAUACUGGAUAGGACUGGCCAUCGCAUGGUGGUUGGUUGAAAGCUUUUGCGGUUUUGGAUGGACUCGCGGCCUAUCAGCUUGUUGGUGGGGUAAUGGCCUACCAAGGCUUUGACGGGUAGCCGGCCUGAGAGGGUGACCGGCCACACUGGGACUGAGACACGGCCCAGACUCCUACGGGAGGCAGCAGUGGGGGAUAUUGCACAAUGGGCGCAAGCCUGAUGCAGCGACGCCGCGUGAGGGAUGACGGCCUUCGGGUUGUAAACCUCUUUCAGUUGGGAAGAAGCCUUUCGGGGUGACGGUACCUUCAGAAGAAGCACCGGCUAACUACGUGCCAGCAGCCGCGGUAAUACGUAGGGUGCGAGCGUUAUCCGGAAUUAUUGGGCGUAAAGAGCUCGUAGGCGGUUUGUCACGUCUGCUGUGAAAGCUCGGGGCUUAACUCCGAGUGUGCAGUGGGUACGGGCAGGCUGGAGUGCAGUAGGGGAGACUGGAAUUCCUGGUGUAGCGGUGAAAUGCGCAGAUAUCAGGAGGAACACCGAUGGCGAAGGCAGGUCUCUGGGCUGUUACUGAC